This 805-nucleotide ribosomal RNA is filed under the name uncultured bacterium. RNAcentral's name for it is "bacterial SSU rRNA". It matches the Rfam family "Bacterial small subunit ribosomal RNA", at positions 8 to 796 of the family's 1533-position model. The record is from RNAcentral.
AGAGUUUGAUCAUGGCUCAGGACGAACGCUGGCGGCAUGCCUAAUACAUGCAAGUCGAACGAGCUGACAGAGUGCUUGCACUCUCGACGCGAGUGGCGGACGGGUGAGUAACACGUGGGAAACCUACCUGUAAGUAGGGGAUAACAUUCGGAAACGGAUGCUAAUACCCUAUAGGUUUCAGUUCCGCAUGGAACUGAAAGGAAAGACGGCUUUGCUGUCGCUUACAGAUGGUCCCGCGGCGCAUUAGCUAGUUGGUGGGAUAAAAGCUCACCAAGGCUGUGAUGCGUAGCCGACCUGAGAGGGUAACCGGCCACACUGGGACUGAGACACGGCCCAGACUCCUACGGGAGGCAGCAGUAGGGAAUCUUCCGCAAUGGACGAAAGUCUGACGGAGCAAUGCCGCGUGAAUGAAGAAGGUCUUCGGAUCGUAAAAUUCUGUUGUUAGAGAAGAACAAGGAGUAGGUAACUACUACUCCCUUGACGGUAUCUAACCAGAAAGCCACGGCUAACUACGUGCCAGCAGCCGCGGUAAUACGUAGGUGGCAAGCGUUGUCCGGAUUUAUUGGGCGUAAAGGGAGCGCAGGCGGUGACUUAAGUCUGAUGUGAAAGCCCACGGCUCAACCGUGGAAGGUCAUUGGAAACUGGGUCACUUGAAUAUAGAAGAGGAAAGUGGAAUUCCAUGUGUAGCGGUGAAAUGCGUAGAUAUAUGGAGGAACACCAGUGGCGAAGGCGACCUUCUGGUCUAUUAUUGACGCUGAGGCUCGAAAGCAUGGGUAGCAAACAGGAUUAGAUACCCUGGUAGUCC